UACAGAGGGUGCGAGCGUUAUUCAUAGUUAUUGGGCGUAAAGAGCUCGUAGGCGGUCUGUCGCGUCGGCUGUGAAAACCCGGAGCUCAACUCCGGGCCUGCAGUCGAUACGGGCAGACUGGAGUUCGGCAGGGGAGACUGGAAUUCCUGGUGUAGCGGUGAAAUGCGCAGAUAUCAGGAGGAACACCGGUGGCGAAGGCGGGUCUCUGGGCCGAUACUGACGCUGAGGAGCGAAAGCGUGGGGAGCGAACAGG
Molecule: ribosomal RNA, 253 nt
Filed under: uncultured bacterium
Lineage: Bacteria
Description: partial 16S ribosomal RNA
Rfam family: Bacterial small subunit ribosomal RNA
Source: RNAcentral